UAAGGAAUAUUGGUCAAUGGACGCAAGUCUGAACCAGCCAUGCCGCGUGAAGGAUGAAGGUCCUCUGGAUUGUAAACUUCUUUUAUCUGGGACGAAAACGGGAUUUUUAUCUCAAUUGACGGUACCAGAGGAAUAAGCACCGGCUAACUCCGUGCCAGCAGCCGCGGUAAUACGGAGGGUGCGAGCGUUAUCCGGAUUUACUGGGUUUAAAGGGUACGUAGGUGGGCUUAUAAGUCAGUGGUGAAAUCUCCGAGCUUAACUUGGAAACUGCCGUUGAUACUAUAGGUCUUGAAUUAUCUGGAGGUAAGCGGAAUAUGUCAUGUAGCGGUGAAAUGCUUAGAUAUGACAUAGAACACCAAUUGCGAAGGCAGCUUACUACAUAUAAAUUGACGCUGAGGCACGAAAGCGUGGGGAUCAAAC
Molecule: ribosomal RNA, 420 nt
Filed under: uncultured bacterium
Lineage: Bacteria
Description: bacterial SSU rRNA
Rfam family: Bacterial small subunit ribosomal RNA
Source: RNAcentral